UUCAUCAUUGUUCUUUUAGAGACGUUUAAUAAUUAUUCUAAUUUUAAAAAAGAAAUUAUAACAACAAUAUAAUCAUUAAAAAAAAUUUAAUUGAUGUAAACAUAAGAAAUGGAUUUUACUAUAUAUAAAGCCUUUAAACCAAUUUAUAUUUGUUACAUGCAAAGGUGGGAAAAAAAUGCCUCAAACUCUCAAGUUUGCUUAUAUUGCGAUCCUUUUUGUUUUCCUUUUAAACGUUGUAGUCUUUGGUUUUAGUAAGCUCAUUCUCAUUUUAUAUUUUGUUUAUUUUAUACACAAUCUUUCACUUAUUUUAGUAAUAUUUUCUUAUUUUUAAUGUACAUUACAGAGUGUGAUACUCAUGAAAAUUGCUAUAAAAUAUUCCCAACUAUUAUUCCAGAAACACUGAAGUGCGUGGAAAGUUUUUGUUCCAUCAUACUUCUUAGUAGUGAUCUUCAGUAAGUCUUAUUUCUCUAUUAUUACCUCCUAGUUUUUUGCUCAUAAUAAUAUUUCACUCUUAUAAUUUCUCUUAUACUUUCAUAUCUUUCUCCAAUCUUGUAAAAGCACGUUAAACAUUUUUUUGAAUGGAAUAUAUAUAUAUAUAUAUAUAUAUAUAUAUAUANNNNNNNNNNNNNNNNNNNNNNNNNNNNNNNNNNNNNNAUAUAUAUUAAUAAAUGAUUACAAGGCGUAAUCCAAUGAAGAAGCAUAUUUAAUGUUGGGGAAUUAACAAUGUAGAGAUUUUAAAGCAUAAAUAUGACCUACAUGAUUAAUUUAUAAUCUAAGAAGAUUAGAAUUGAGUUAUAGAUCUCAAUAGAAGAGACCAAAUAAUUGAGUUUUACCCUUUAGGAUGUUAUCUUGAGGAUGUCUUGUUACAACUACCAUCUAAUAACAUAAUAGUAUCAUCAUAAUCGACUAUAAACCAUAAAAUUGGCCGAAAACCGAAAAUCGGCCAAAAACCAUAAAAUCGGCCGAAAAACCCAAAAAAAUCGGCCAAAAAAUCUAAAAUCGAUCAAAAAGUCUAAAAUCGAUCGUAAACACAAAAUCAACCGAAAACCCAAAAAAUCAGUCAAAAACCCAAAAACCAACCCAAAACCCAAAAAAUUGGCCGAAAAACCUAAAAAUCGGCCAAAAACCCAAAAAUCGACUAUAAACCCAAAAAUCGACUUUAAAUCCUAAAAAUCGACUUCAAAUUCUCUGGUUUUAGGUGUUAUUUUAAAAUUCUCUAAAUUUAAUUUGAAUAAAAUACUUCAUUAAUUUGAAUAAACCCCAAUAAUUAUAAAUUCGGGAAACUAACAAUAUCAUAAUAGUCAAUGUGGUACUUAAAUUCACCCUAAAGUGUGUUGUUCCUUUUUNNNNNNNNNNNNNNNNNNNNNNNNNNNNNNNNNNNNNNNNNNNNNNNNNNNNNNNNNNNNNNNNNNNNNNNNNNNNNNNNNNNNNNNNNNNNNNNNUGCCCCCCACCAAAAUUCUGCACAAAAUCUGCUUCUGAGUCUCAAGUUCAAAGCUUCGCACAGAACUCAAUUUGGAUCAAUAAUUCACCAAACUGGUACCGAAACUACCAAAAUCGAGUUAGUUUUCCACAGAAUCAAACUCCAUUAAGAUUGAAGUUUUAGUUGUCAGUAAAAGCAUUGAACAGUAAAAGCAUUGAACGACGGUUUCAAUGUAAUCUAAAAGUUUCUAUUGAGGAUUUACAUGUUGUGAAUAAUUUUAUCAUAUGAACAAUAUUGAGAUGAGUCACCAUGUUCAAGAGAGGUAUGGUGUUCUGAUGAUACUUUGUUUAUGACGUACGUAUCUUCCGAAAGGUGAGGAUGUUAUUAAGUUUUUUAUGAGAGUUACAAGAUGAUAUUUGUUCGUAUAUUUGUUGUGAAACAUACAUCAUACAUAGGUUGUUUAACAUGCAACGAUGAAGGACCCGUGGAUGUUGUUUUAGCCUGGAGGUGUUUAAGCUUCGGAAUGGAAACCCCAAUAAUUAUAAAUUCGGGAAACUAACAAUAUCAUAAUAGUCAAUGUGGUACUUAAAUUCACCCUAAAGUGUGUUGUUCCUUUUUUUUUUGACAUGUAUCCUCCUAGUAUACUAUCUUGAAUUUCAAUUAUUUGUUCAACAUGAGGUGGAUCAACAUUGCAUUUGACAUGUUAACCUGAAGAUUUAUUUUUCAAAUGUACUUCUAUGUAUUUGCUUCAAUCGAUUGAAAUUGUUAUAUACCAUUUGAAGUGAUUUGUAACUUAUCUCACCCCAUGUUUUCUCCAUAUUUAUCUUUAAUGAAUUAUAUGCAGGCCCAAACCUAAUUAGGACGAGACCGAGUAGUAGUAUCGAGGUGUUUCUUCAUGAGAAUAAAGUGGAGCAUUAGGGUGUUCUAUAGAGUUCGUUGGAUUAUUCUCACAAAAAUAAUAGUGGAUGCUAUAUCCAUUCCCCACUAAUAUAUAUGUAAUUUUUUUUACGAAUAAAUGUUCUCUUCCUUAAUAUAGACUAUUUUCUUUUUCUUUGAGCACUGCACUCUCUUUUUCUUCGCCUGAUGUUUCCCGUAGGGAUUUAAAUGUAUGGUUUUUAAUGAGACAAUUGUCAUUUAUUUCAAGUCCAACUUGGAUAUUGGCCUAGUGCAACAAGUUUUGUAUUCUUGAUUUUAAUUUAAUGUUAUUGUGAGUUAGCUUGAUUUUUAAGUUGAUUGAAGGAUUUCUCCAGUAGGAUUUAAAUGUAAGGUUUUUAAUGAGGCAGUUAUCAUUUGUUUUAGGUCUAACUUGGAUGUCCUCCAAGUUUUGUAUUCUCGAUUUUAAUUUUAUGUUAUUGUGAGUUAGCUUGAUAUUUUUAAGUUGAUUGAUGGAUUGCCAACCAAUAUAUUUUAUUAGAAUGUUGUAUUUAUGUGACUAUGGCGCAUUGGGCGCUGGCGGCAGGGGCAAACUCAGUUUCUGCGCAUGGUGAGGCAGAAACCUGUGCAUGUUGCGCCAAAAGCAGAUAUGAACCUAGAAACGUGAUUUUGAGCGUAUAACUGUAUAAGCACUUAUUUUAACCCCAGGGUCACUUAUUUCAAUGCCACAACAUAUACCAAGCAUAUACUACGUCUAUACAUGUUCAAAAACACUAAUAAGCAACUUAUUAACAUCAAUAAUCACUUAUUUCAUAGAUUUUAACACAUUUAUAAACAAACUUCCUAAACAACAAGUUCUUAACAAAACAUCUACAAAUACCCAUUUUAAAACCCAUCAAUUCGUUAUACAACAUGUUAAGAGGUUAUUAAACAUGUUAGGAUCACUCAAGACUAUAUAUCUACUCUCAUACCUGGAUUUGACGAGAUAUCGAUGAUUUACUCUUGAAAUCUCUACCCAAGCUUUGCCUUAGCUCUCCUCUUCUCUUCCUUCUCUCUAACUGUCCAAAGAAACAAAGAAAAUGAAUGUUUUCUCUCUCGAAAGGGCUUAAGUAGCGCCACCCAUGUGUGUUCAAGGCCCAUUGGGUCUCAAGCCCAAUUGCUCGGUCCAACUAGCGUUAAAACUCAUAAACCCGGGUGUUAACUUAAGAUCUCGUCAAACAAUUAUUUGCCACUAAAUUAAUUAAAAGUCAUCGCAACAAUUAAUUUAGCACUUAAAUAGCAAAUAAUAAAAUCAGGUCCUUACAGGAUCUGCCACUGAUAACACAUGUAUUGUCCUUUCGUACAAGCACUUGAUGACGGCUUAGGCUCUUCACCUUUGAUCUGUGCCCGCAUGCGUAUUCGCCGUGGUCGUUUGCCACAUGCUNNNNNNNNNNNNNNNNNNNNNNNCUUUUAGCCGAUCUAGAACAACGGCUAUAUAUACAGCUAGUCCUCAUGUGUUUGAUUUGAUGCCAAAUUGUAUCGCUACUAAAAAAAAUCAAUCUAAUAUUAAAUCUUAGCUAAUUAACAUGGGUAGAUAAAAUCAACCACUACAAGAAAAGUUGUACAUACUCAUGGCUUUUUUACGCGGGGCUCUUUUCCGUGGAUAUUACUCAUGGCUUAUCUAUGGGUAACAUAAAAAUAAGGAAACUAUUCAUUCCCACCCAAAUUUUUUUCACGAAAACGCACUAUUCAUUCCCACCCAACUUUUUUUCACGAAAACACAGUUCCCACGACAUAUCCGUAUGUAAGCAAAAAAAUAUAACAUUUAGUAUCCACGGCAUUUUCUUGGAUAAUGAGUUACCAACGAGGCAAUAUGUCACAGACCAAUGCCAUGGGUAAUCCGUGGGUAGAUCUCAUGUACUCAUAGUGAAGCCGUGAGUAAUGGCAAAAAUGGCCGUGGGUAUAAACAAAUUUUCUUGUAGUGAACUAAACCAUGAUAGUAUCGCGUGCUCAUGGUUUUGCUUUCAUUCGGCAAGUGAAUGUUAUUGGAAAUCUUUAAUGGGAUGUCUCGUUCUAACCAUAUUUUAUUUAACCACAAAAUUCAAACGUGACAUAUUCAAGAUAUGUGGGUCAUGUUACACAAAUUUCAAUACAUAAAAUAAAAUAAUAAAAGGUUUGUAAAACUAAAAUGAACUCUAUAUUUUCAAGCAAAGUUAUUUUGUGUGCUUGCGAUUUUUUUAUCACUCAACAAGAGAAUUUUAUUGGAAAUAUUUAAUGGGAUCUCUCAUUCUAACCAUAUUUUACUUAACCAGAAAAUUCAAAUGCGAGACAUUCAAGAUAUGUGGAUUCCAAUACAUAAAAUAAUUUUAGUUUUUCCCACUCUAUAAUGAAAGGAUAGACAAGAAAUAAAAAUUAUUAUAAUAAUAAUGAAAGGUUGGUAAAACAAAAAUGAACUCUAUAAUUACAAGCAAAGUUAUUUUUGUGAUAUAUAUAUUCUAUGAACUAAAGGAACAAAUAUUAUCCAUCAGUGUUCUUUAGAAACAUUUAAUAAUUAUUCCAAUUUUAGAAAAUAAAUUACAGCAACAACAUAAUCAUUAAAAACUACUUAAUUGAUGUAAACAUAAGAAAUGGUUUUUACUAUAUAAAGUGAUUAAACCAAUUUAAAUUUGUUACAAUUAAAGGGAAAAAAUGGCUCAAAUUCUCAAAUUUGCUUAUAUUGUGAUUCUUUUUGUUUCCCUUUUUGUCGUUGUAGUCUUUGGCUCAAGCUAUAGUAAGCUCAUUCUCAUAUUAUAUUUUGUUUAUUUAUACACAAUCAUUCAUUUAUUUUAGUAAUAUUUUCUUAUUUUUAAUGUACAUUACAGAGUGUGAUACUCAUGAAGAUUGUUAUAAAUUAUUCCCAAAUGCUACUCCAGGAAUAAUGAAGUGUUGGGAAGGUCUUUGUGCCAUAAAAAUAUUGUAAGUCUUAUUUCUCUAUUAUUACCUCCUAGUUUUUUGCUCAUCAUAAUAUUUCACUCUUAUAUUUUCUCUUAUACUUUCAUAUCUUUCUCCGAUUUCGUAAAGCAUGUUAAACAUUUUUUUAAUGGAAUAUAUAUAUAUAUAAUUUUAAUAAACGAUUACAAGGUGUAAUCGAAUGAAGAAGCAUAAUUAAUAUAUUAUGAAAUCUUUGUUAUUAGUUUUUGUUGGGGAAUUAACAAUGUUGAGAUUUUUAAGGAUAAAUAUGACCUACAUGAUUGAUUUAUAAUCUAAGAAGAUUAGAAUUGAGUUAUAGAGCUCAAGAGAGACGAGAGCAAAUAAUUGAGUUUUACACUUUAGAAUGUUAUCUUAAGGAUGUCUUGUUACAAGUAUAUGUACAUCUUUGAAGGUUUGGUUUUCAAAUGUAUUUCUGUGUAUUGGUUUCAAUAAAUUGAAAUAGUUAUACCACUGAAGUGAUUUGUAAAUUAUCUCACCCCGUGUUUUUUACAUAUUAUCUUUAAUGAAUUAUAUGCAGGCGCAACGCGAACGCGAACUAGUAUCGAGGUGUUUGUUCAUGAAAAUAAAGUGGAGCAACAGGGUGUUCUAUGAGUUUGUUGGAUUAUUCUCAAAAAAAUAAUAGUGGGAUGCUAUCCCCCAUUCCCCACUAAGAUAGAUUAUGUUAGUUUUUUGUUAGCACUAUUGCACUCUUUUUUCCUUCUCCUGAUUUUUCCUACGAAAUUUAAAGGUAAGGUUUUUAAUAAGACAAUUGUCAUUUGUUUUAGGUCUAACUUGGAUGUCCUCCAAGUUUGUAUUCUCGAUUUUAAUUUUAAGUUAUUGUGAGUUAGCUAGAUUUUUAAAGUUGAUUGAUGAAUUGCCGACCAAUAUAUUUUAUUAUUUUAUGUUGUAUUUAUGUGCUAUGGAUGACAGUUGGAGUAAGCCCUAGAGGCCAAUAA
Molecule: long non-coding RNA, 6178 nt
Filed under: Trifolium pratense (red clover)
Lineage: Eukaryota; Viridiplantae; Streptophyta; Magnoliopsida; Fabales; Fabaceae
Description: long non-coding RNA (TPRA_LNC004864)
Source: RNAcentral